Long non-coding RNA from Cyprinus carpio (common carp), 2594 nucleotides. RefSeq lists it as uncharacterized. The record is from RefSeq and is a predicted model, not a curated record. NCBI's taxonomy places the organism in Eukaryota, Metazoa, Chordata, Actinopteri, Cypriniformes, Cyprinidae.
CGCUCGUGAACGCGCUGCGCAGACAGUGCACGACACGCGAGUGGCCAGAGAGUGUCUGGAGUCUGUCUGAAACUGAUAAAAAUGGUGAUGAUGGAGUUCAUCCAGAGUCUCGCUCAUACUCAUUAGCAAAACAAAGGGAGACAGAGCGGAAUUAUACAAUCAUCCAACACUCUGUAGUCUGAUCGUAGCUCGAAAACUAGAUUCUAUUGUAGCGCAUUUCAAAGUUUUAUUCCAUGUUUUUCACCAGACAGACAGUUCAUUAAUGCACAGGCAGGAGGAUUAUGUUUCUGAAGACCUCUUGGAGCUGUCACAGAUUCAGCGGCACUUAAAGGUGAUACCCGUGUUCUGCGGCUGUGCUGCCGUGCUGACGGAUAGGGAAGAGGAACAGAGAUGACCUGUCUGCAGAGAUGAUACAGUCCCCUUCAUCUCUUCUCCACUUCCCGGUCCUCUUGUACUUCUGUGCUAGUUCAGUCAGAAGCCAAAGAAAUGUCAGGGGUGAGUUCAAUAAGGCUGGGUAAUUGCGAUUCUGUCUUCUUGUCCGUUGGACUGAAUCAUCUUCCAUUAGAGGAGCGGUGGGGGGGCCCUUACCCAGGGCCAAAGAGCAAUCUAAAUCCUCAACGCCUGUUAAAGGCACUGCAAGUCAUCUCCAUACAAACACAAGGAAAAUCCACCAACAUGCACAAACAUUUAUUUUGUUGUUCUUUAUCUUUUGUUUGUACCUUUUUUUUGCCUAUAGAAUGGUCGAUAUAAACCUUUAUUGAAAAGAACUUGCAGAUUUUUAGAGACAGACUUUGAGAGCAACCUGAGGUUAAGUGUAAUGUUUAGAAAUGUUUAAUGUAUUGCCCUGGCCAAGGUUCAAAUCUCAGCCCAGAUGCAUAAGCACAACACAUUCACCCUCAGAAAAUCUGAAUUGUUAAGUGCAAUUCUGAUGCAAGUUUACACAUUCUUUAUGCUUGUAUUUCUUUAUUCAGCACAUGUUGCUGAUUUUGUGUUCAGUAACCACCAGAAAUGCUGAAAUGUACUUCAAACAUUGCUAAAAGCUAUUUUAUUUUGGUGUUGAGAAUUCCCACAUUUUCAGUUGUCCAGAAUCACUUUUGAAACAUCUGGCUUUUGUAUUAGAUGUGAAGGGACAUCUCUUGUACACAAUGACAUGCUUGUCACUGUUGAAGUUUGAUAGGACCAGGCAGUGUUCACGGUACUAGAAGGGGUCCCUCUGUAAUGUAAUGUAGUUCUGUGGAAAAACGUACAAUACUGCCAUCUGCUGACGUGAAUUGGAACCAAAUUUAUGAAAGCGUUUCAUGAAGGGUCAAAAUGUGCCAGUUUACCCGAUAUAUAUAAUAAAUGUAUAAUAAUACAUUUCAAGUAUUUGCAAUACACAAUGCAACACUUUUUCUUCACUUUUCUAGGGCAGCUUAAUUUAUUGUUGGAAUAUGAAUUUGACCAAGCAUCUACAGUCACACAUCCUGCACCUCACUCCUAACACAUGUCCACCAUUUGUAAUGCAUUAUGAUUUAUGUUUCGCUCUACUGAUUGUAUUGGAUAAUGUCUGACUGCAUCUCAACUAUCUUUAUAUGCAAGAGAGAAUGAUGAGCAUUUAAAAAGCUAGAAAAGAUGGGAUGUCUUUUUUUCCUAGAUUAGAGCCUUUGUCUUGUCAAAUGAUGUGUAUAAUCUAUAUGUAUGUUAUGCUGGUAAUUUGAUUAAAUAAUUAUCCAUUUUUAAUAAUUGAAAAAAAUAAAAAAAAUUAAAUCCUAGUCAAUAAAAAUAAUAAUUAUUAUUAUAAACACAGUAGGCAGUUAACUUUGUUUCCACUGAUGAGGAUACUAAUAACAGCAAGCAGCACCACUGCUGAGUCAGAGCAUUAGGCAGCUGUAUACAUCAGAACACACAACAGCUUAGACCAGUUAACUUUAACCAAACACCCUGUGCUAAAUAUCUUUGAAAGUUGCACACACACUGGUAUCUCAAGUUCAGGAAACUUUGCCAUGAAGCAGCAUUGCAUUCUAUGGCACACCAGGAUGCAUCCUUUAUUCAUUUAACAUACAGUUGGACAGCUCAUGUUUGCUCUUGACUUUGAAGGGAAGAUGAUGUGAUAGGUUAAACAGUAACAGUAUAACCAGAACACAAUAUUUGAAUAAGUAUGAUGUUUUUUUUUGUGUGUGUGUGUGUAAGAAAUUCAGAGAAUAUAAAUUGGUAAAUGGAUGGGUAAACUUGUAUCACUUAUGUGCUUUCACACACAUUUACAUGUAUGGUCAAUCCUAAUUGCUGAUAUAAAUAGAUGAGGGGGUAGGAUAAGCUGUCUCAGAUGACUCCUUCCUCAUAGGUCCAGACCGAGUGGAAGUGAAUGAGGUCAGGGAGACAGCAAAGGGAGAAGGAUUUAUUUGGAGAAAACAUGCUGAUCAGUUUUAUAACUGAAAUCACAAAUGAAGAUCAGUGUUUUUUUGUAUUUGCUUGUAUGUACACUAAAUGUAUAACUGGAAACAACUUAUUCUAUUGUAUAAAGAUACUUAACAUGCUGGUAUAAAUAGUUAAUUAGAUUGGUCAAAUGCUAAAGAAUGUCAGUAAAAUGUUUCACACAUAAAAUGUGUUGAAUAUUG